CUUACUGAGGUCUAGCUGUGUGCCGCGCACAGGCCAGACGCGGGGUCUCCCUGGCCAAUCGACUGUUCGCACAAGAGACACAGAUCUAUUUGUUUCUGCAAAGUGCCGUGAGAAUUUUUGGAAAGAAGCAAAAGGUGUACCAGGCGGGCUUCCUGUCCGGGGAAGAUUCUCUCCAUUCAGAGGCAAACAGUUCAGGUGAAGGGGUGCUUCCCGCACUGCCACGGCUGAAACCUGCUCACCGCCAGGCCGUGUCCCCCUGAGAAAAGUGUGCCCAGAAUCUCCGACUUACAAUGGCAGAACCGGAGAUCAGGCUUUGUGUGACCCGUGUUUCCUGUUCACUGCUCAGAAGGCGAAGGAGAAUGUUUAAAUUGGUCUGUUAACCUCAUCUGAGCCUACACCAGCAACAGCAAAGAGUUCUUUUUACUUGUGUAUGGCCCUCGCUGGGCCACAAAUGACAGCCUGGGGCUAGAGCUGGGAUCCUGUUGGACAACAAGGACAGUGGCCCCAAAAUGGAGCCUGCUGAGCCACCACCCUCCAGAGAAAUUCCAGAUACACCUGCCAGGGGUCCUGCAGCUGUCCAAGGCCUCCCCGGAGCAUGGGUAGUGGGCUCUGCAUAGAUCGGACCCUGAGAAGUGCGUGUUCUCCCCUAGGGUACCACAGCCCAAGCUCCCUUCUAAAUGCCUUGAAAACACCUAGACAAAGAGCCCUCCUGGGUAUCCAGCUCGGAACCACUCCCCGCUAGCAGGAGCUCUACUUCCUUGCCUUUAUAUUGUUAAAUAAAUUUGUUUGCGU
Fukomys damarensis (Damara mole-rat) is the source of this 792-nucleotide long non-coding RNA. RefSeq lists it as uncharacterized. The record is from RefSeq and is a predicted model, not a curated record. NCBI's taxonomy places the organism in Eukaryota, Metazoa, Chordata, Mammalia, Rodentia, Bathyergidae. The transcript has 3 exons.